UACGGGGGGGGCAAGCGUUGUUCGGAAUUACUGGGCGUAAAGGGCUCGUAGGCGGCCAACUAAGUCCGACGUGAAAUCCCCAGGCUUAACCUGGGAACUGCGUCGGAUACUGGAUGGCUUGAAUCCGGGAGAGGGAUGCGGAAUUCCAGGUGUAGCGGUGAAAUGCGUAGAUAUCUGGAGGAACACCGGUGGCGAAGGCGGCAUCCUAGACCGGCAUUGACGCUGAGGAGCGAAAGCCAGGGGAGCAAACGGG
Molecule: ribosomal RNA, 253 nt
Filed under: uncultured bacterium
Lineage: Bacteria
Description: partial 16S ribosomal RNA
Rfam family: Bacterial small subunit ribosomal RNA
Source: RNAcentral